This 709-nucleotide ribosomal RNA is filed under the name Nocardia cyriacigeorgica. Its description in RNAcentral is "bacterial SSU rRNA". It matches the Rfam family "Bacterial small subunit ribosomal RNA", at positions 54 to 780 of the family's 1533-position model. The record is from RNAcentral. Lineage: Bacteria; Bacillati; Actinomycetota; Actinomycetes; Mycobacteriales; Nocardiaceae.
CAUGCAAGUCGAGCGGUAAGGCCCUUCGGGGUACACGAGCGGCGAACGGGUGAGUAACACGUGGGUGAUCUGCCUCGCACUCUGGGAUAAGCCUGGGAAACUGGGUCUAAUACCGGAUAUGACCUUACAUCGCAUGGUGUUUGGUGGAAAGAUUUAUCGGUGCGAGAUGGGCCCGCGGCCUAUCAGCUUGUUGGUGGGGUAAUGGCCUACCAAGGCGACGACGGGUAGCCGGCCUGAGAGGGCGACCGGCCACACUGGGACUGAGACACGGCCCAGACUCCUACGGGAGGCAGCAGUGGGGAAUAUUGCACAAUGGGCGAAAGCCUGAUGCAGCGACGCCGCGUGAGGGAUGACGGCCUUCGGGUUGUAAACCUCUUUCGACAGGGACGAAGCGCAAGUGACGGUACCUGUAGAAGAAGCACCGGCCAACUACGUGCCAGCAGCCGCGGUAAUACGUAGGGUGCGAGCGUUGUCCGGAAUUACUGGGCGUAAAGAGCUUGUAGGCGGCUUGUCGCGUCGAUCGUGAAAACUUGGGGCUCAACCCCAAGCUUGCGGUCGAUACGGGCAGGCUUGAGUACUUCAGGGGAGACUGGAAUUCCUGGUGUAGCGGUGAAAUGCGCAGAUAUCAGGAGGAACACCGGUGGCGAAGGCGGGUCUCUGGGAAGUAACUGACGCUGAGAAGCGAAAGCGUGGGUAGCGAACAGGAUUA